RNAcentral lists this transfer RNA (84 nucleotides) under Marasmius oreades (fairy-ring Marasmius). Its description in RNAcentral is "tRNA-Tyr". It matches the Rfam family "tRNA". From Rfam's summary of the family: Transfer RNA (tRNA) molecules are approximately 80 nucleotides in length. Their secondary structure includes four short double-helical elements and three loops (D, anti-codon, and T loops). The record is from RNAcentral. Lineage: Eukaryota; Fungi; Basidiomycota; Agaricomycetes; Agaricales; Marasmiaceae.
GGGCAGGUGAUCCGAUUGGUAAUGGUGGUUCUCUGUAAAAGAAUUGGUUUAUAACCAUACUAGGUUCGAUUCCUAGACUGCUCA